This 455-nucleotide ribosomal RNA is filed under the name Escherichia coli. Its description in RNAcentral is "bacterial SSU rRNA". It matches the Rfam family "Bacterial small subunit ribosomal RNA", at positions 283 to 730 of the family's 1533-position model. Lineage: Bacteria; Pseudomonadati; Pseudomonadota; Gammaproteobacteria; Enterobacterales; Enterobacteriaceae. The record is from RNAcentral.
CUAGCUGGUCUGAGAGGAUGACCAGCCACACUGGAACUGAGACACGGUCCAGACUCCUACGGGAGGCAGCAGUGGGGAAUAUUGCACAAUGGGCGCAAGCCUGAUGCAGCCAUGCCGCGUGUAUGAAGAAGGCCUUCGGGUUGUAAAGUACUUUCAGCGGGGAGGAAGGGAGUAAAGUUAAUACCUUUGCUCAUUGACGUUACCCGCAGAAGAAGCACCGGCUAACUCCGUGCCAGCAGCCGCGGUAAUACGGAGGGUGCAAGCGUUAAUCGGAAUUACUGGGCGUAAAGCGCACGCAGGCGGUUUGUUAAGUCAGAUGUGAAAUCCCCGGGCUCAACCUGGGAACUGCAUCUGAUACUGGCAAGCUUGAGUCUCGUAGAGGGGGGUAGAAUUCCAGGUGUAGCGGUGAAAUGCGUAGAGAUCUGGAGGAAUACCGGUGGCGAAGGCGGCCCCCU